Molecule: ribosomal RNA, 425 nt
Filed under: uncultured Alphaproteobacteria bacterium
Lineage: Bacteria; Pseudomonadati; Pseudomonadota; Alphaproteobacteria
Description: bacterial SSU rRNA
Rfam family: Bacterial small subunit ribosomal RNA
Source: RNAcentral
CUCAACCCCGGAAUUGCUUUUGAAACUGCAAGUCUAGAAUAUGGGAGAGGUUAGUGGAAUUCCGAGUGUAGAGGUGAAAUUCGCAGAUAUUCGGAGGAACACCAGUGGCGAAGGCGACUAACUGGACCAUUAUUGACGCUCAGGCACGAAAGCGUGGGGAUCAAACAGGAUUAGAUACCCUGGUAGUCCACGCCGUAAACGAUGUGUGCUAGUUGUCGGGAUCUUAAGGUCUCGGUGACGGAGCGAAAGUAUUAAGCACACCGCCUGGGGAGUACGGCCGCAAGGUUAAAACUCAAAGGAAUUGACGGGGACCCGCACAAGCGGUGGAGCAUGUUGUUUAAUUCGAAGCAACGCGAAGAACCUUACCCACUCUUGACAUCCUCCCUGGGACUUGGAGAGAUCCUUGUCUUCGGUUCGGCCGGGGG